Molecule: ribosomal RNA, 458 nt
Filed under: uncultured bacterium
Lineage: Bacteria
Description: partial 16S ribosomal RNA
Rfam family: Bacterial small subunit ribosomal RNA
Source: RNAcentral
CCUACGGGAGGCAGCAGUGGGGAAUAUUGCACAAUGGGGGAAACCCUGAUGCAGCGACGCCGCGUGAGUGAAGAAGUAUUUCGGUAUGUAAAGCUCUAUCAGCAGGGAAGAAAUAGCGACCUUUGGGUCGCCAGACGGUACCUGAUUAAGAAGCCCCGGCUAACUACGUGCCAGCAGCCGCGGUAAUACGUAGGGGGCAAGCGUUAUCCGGAUUUACGGGGUGUAAAGGGAGCGUAGACGGCAGCGCAAGUCUGAAGUGAAAUGCCGGGGCUUAACCCCGGAACUGCUUUGGAAACUGUGCAGCGAGAGUGCAGGAGAGGUAAGUGGAAAUCCUAGUGUAGCGGUGAAAUGCGUAGAUAUUAGGAGGAACACCAGUGGCGAAGGCGGCUUACUGGACUGUAACUGACGUUGAGGCUCGAAAGUGUGGGUAUCAAACAGGAUUAGAUACCCGAGUAGUC